CCUACGGGCGGCAGCAGUGAGGAAUAUUGGUCAAUGGGCGAGAGCCUGAACCAGCCAAGUCGCGUGAGGGAGUACUGCCCUAUGGGUUGUAAACCUCUUUUGUCGGGGAGCAAAAGCUGGACGUGUCCGGCUGUGAGAGUACCCGAAGAAAAAGCAUCGGCUAACUCCGUGCCAGCAGCCGCGGUAAUACGGAGGAUGCGAGCGUUAUCCGGCUUUAUUGGGUUUAAAGGGUGCGCAGGCGGAUUUUUAAGUCUGCGGUAAAAUCGUGGGGCUCAACCCCAUCCAGCCGUUGAAACUGGGGAUCUAGAGUGUGCGAGAGGUAUGCGGAAUGCGUGGUGUAGCGGUGAAAUGCAUAGAUAUCACGCAGAACCCCGAUUGCGAAGGCAGCAUACCGGUGCACAACUGACGCUCAGGCACGAAAGCGUGGGUAUCGAACAGGAUUAGAUACCCUGGUAGUC
Molecule: ribosomal RNA, 458 nt
Filed under: uncultured bacterium
Lineage: Bacteria
Description: partial 16S ribosomal RNA
Rfam family: Bacterial small subunit ribosomal RNA
Source: RNAcentral